Oxyura jamaicensis (ruddy duck) is the source of this 4079-nucleotide long non-coding RNA. RefSeq lists it as uncharacterized. The transcript has 4 exons. The record is from RefSeq and is a predicted model, not a curated record. Lineage: Eukaryota; Metazoa; Chordata; Aves; Anseriformes; Anatidae.
AGCUGCUGCUUUCUACAUUAUCGCAACUGCCAGAGCUCUUAGUGCUGCAGUUUUCUAGUCGCAGUGCGGCAAAGCAGACGCAUAGACCCAGGCACAAAGCAGCAUAGAUUUUUUAUUCUCGUCUUUUUUUUGUAUGAGGGAGAUUUUCCUGGUGUUAGCGUAGGAACAGACACGCAGCCUGGAUGUGUUGGCUUCAGCCUGGCAGCACUUUCAGCUGAACAGGGACUGUUCGGAGCUCGGUACCCAAACUGCCUCUGAGGAAGAAUGCCUGGUUUCUCAUUUUGUAUACUAAGAGGUUCUUUAUGCCACGAUGAUAUACCUGCAGCCAUAGGACAAAGGAGAUCAUGGUAUUUGUCACUGUUUGCCUGACUGGGGCCUUUGCAGGCACUCCACUGCUGAAGCCGUGCCAGCGUCCCAGGGUCGUAUAGAUUGGUAAUACAGAUUGCCGCAAUUUCUUACAGCAGUAUUGCAAAGCUCAAAUGAGAAACCAGACUCUGAACUAAAUCAAUCCCAGUCCUUCUGGAUACAGGGCAGCAGGCGACUAGCAAUGACACAACCAGCCAUCAAGUGGAGAGUCUCUGGGACUGCAGUCUGUAUCAGUUGGAGUCUGUGAGAAUGAAACACUUUCGGUUAUCCAGUCGCUUCUCCUUCUUCUAAUACUACAAUUACUACAACUGCUACAACUGCUACUACUACUAUUACUUCUUUUUUCUUGCCUGUAAGAAGCUAUUACUUGCGCUUGGUCUCUGAGUGUAUGUUUGCGUGGAUUAGUUUGCCUGUAAAGCAGUCCUUAUCUGCUCCUGCUGGAAAUCAGGGCACAAAGUCAGCCUGCUUUAACAGUUGUUUCUUCCUGCGUGAUGCUAUGCAGCUAGAAUGGGUUACACUGGCAACAAAGGAACCAACACAAAGCAUCACUUUAUUUGCUGGACUGUUACAGGAACAUAAGUCUUCUACGAUAUGAUGCCCUGUUCUCUCUCUUUUUUUUUUUUUUUUUUUUUUUUUAAUUCAUCUAAUCGAAGAGCAUAACAGACACCAUCGUGGAUGUGGUUUUUAAUGAUUUGGAAAAGACAGCCUGUGGAGACUGUGAUUUGAGACUGCAACACAUUUAGGUUAUUGCCAAUUUGAAAUACUUGGUUUGUGAAGCACAGCCCUAAGGGACAAGCGCAGUAACUGAGAAAGAGAUUGUAGAUAAAGAAAUAAAAAUGACAAGCGUAAUGGAGGCUCUGCAAAAGAGACUGUCAGAGAAUCAGUUCAUGGAUGGCAAUUUCACCAGUUUGAAUCUGAAUAAUUCAUAGAUUGAAAUUACCCUGCUUUCACCUUUCCAUUUAAACCGGCAUGAUCUGAAUCUCUAAUAAAUUUUCAAGAUAAAGUAAAAUGCCAAUUUGAAUCUGAAGAGCUUUUAAAACCAGAUGCUACACCCUGAAUUUUUUGAUACCUUUCACAAUUAUCCUGUGAGAACUGCACUUCAUCACGAAGCACCAUUACCAGUGAAAAUUACUGUGAUUACAAUAGCAACAAUAGAAUACCAUCAAAUGAUCUCCAAUUUACCUAAUUUACCAGGGCUGACUGUGUGCCCAUUGUGCUUCACUACGUCUGGCAUUGGAUCAAUAUCACAGAGGAACAAAAAUGCCUUAGUAUAUGCUUCCUUUUGGUGCCUUUAACUUCGACAGCACAGGAAAAUCUAUCUACUGUUAAAUGGUUUUACAGCCGAUCUACAUGCCUGCUGUAGGAUCUGAUUGAUUCUCCGUGUUUUUCUUUAGUUGCUGGGCAUUGGAUGUCAUUGUGUUACUAAUUUGUUUAUAACGUAUACUCCUGCACAAAGACUGCAGCAAAUGAGUAACAGCACAGCAGCUCUGCACUGCUACAGCAGUAGCAGCGCUCUCGCAGGGGAAGCCAAAAUGAGUUCGGUGCCUUAUGUGAAUAAUUACUUGUGUCUGGGUUAUAAAUGCUCUCUAGCAUCACUGGUCUUGGUUGCAUGACACGACAAUUGAAUUCAAAAGCCAUGGUCAAGGGAAAUGAUCGUGUGCAAUCCAAACAAGAUUUUUUUCCCCCCUAUUCAGCAUUUUGUAAGAGAUUGUGAGAGAUAGGCUGUGACUCUGUCUAUGAAUGCAUGUCUGUACAUAUGCAUGUACAUAUGUAAAUGUAACGAUAGCAUGCUUUGUGAAUAUGUACUGAUCACUGAAAGUAACAACUUUUAUGGACAAGCCAGGCACAGUGUUUUGCCACAAUCUGCUUGGUUGUAACAUAUUUCUGUUUUGGAGGUGUAAGUUUUCUAUAGGAUUGCGUGUGACUUCUGGAACAGUAAGUGCCAUUUAUAGAGUAUGUUGGUGCCUAUACCUAUGCUACAAAAUAUAAUUUUAAACAUAGAGUCCUUGUAGCAUGACUACAGUACAGAGAAGUUUGAAAAAUGUACAGAAGGCUAUAACAGGCAUUCUGCAUGGAGACAACUGUGUCUGCUGUCUGUAUGUGUGUGAGUUGUACACUUCAAUCUUGUUUUUCAUUUUAUAACCAGAUUUACUCUGCCUCCAGGGAGUACUUGCUAAGGAAGGUAACAUAUGUUUUUAAUAAGUUGAUGCCAAACAUAAAAGAAAAAUAAAAAGGAACAGUGUUGGGAGACAAAGGGAGAUAACACACUGAAAGCACUGGGAAUUAUGCAUUGAAGAGGAAUCCCUGUGGAGCUGAUAGUUGUGGAUUAAUGACUGGUAUACCAAGCAGGUAACCUGAAGACUGAGUGGUUACAGGCAUAUUGGAUUCCACACCUUGGCAGAGGAUUAUUUCAGCAUAUGUUCCAGGACAGCUCAGCACUUAAGUCUUACAUGAAAGAAAAAAACAGUUGAUUCUGCAAUAAUUUGUUUGGAUCUCGUGAAGGUUUCAAGGAUUGCAUAUAGUCCUCAAGGGGCAGGACAAGCAAAUCGAUUGGGAUGAAGCUAGGUUUCAAGUCUUUACUUGUCUAGACAUAAAGCCUCUUUCACUAAAAAGAGGAAUGGGGGAAGACAAGGAAUUCUUUUAAAAGAAGAAUUUCAUUCAUUUGUGCAUUAUGGUAAUUAUACCGCUGUCUUAAAUGCUUGGAGGUGGAUGGUGUUUGUGACCUCUCUGGUAUGUUUCAUAGGGAAACAGCAUAACCUUCCACUGUCCCGAAACAGAAGUGGGCCCCCUAUCUAUUAAAGCUGUCUUGGGCAAGUCAGCAAACUCUGUAAUGGAUCCUUUAUAUCCCCCUAAACACACCUUAUAGUGUAGGGCACAUUCCAAUGAAAUGGGGGAAGUUCCUACAGUUUGAUUACUUAUUGUUGAAACAGCUUGUUGUAAAAGCUGAUAAUAAAAUAGACUGUGCUUUUUGUUAGCAGGGUAACCACAUUAAUGAUACAAUAGUUAUAUCAGGGACAUACAUUGACUUUUAAAGAUGUCCCUUCAGCCUCUCUAAUACGUGAGUUCAGAGGAGGAAAAAAAAAAAAAAAAAAAAAAAAAAAAAAAAGAGUUUGUUUAAAGUUUUAAUUUUCCCCAGCAGCAUAUAAUAAUUUACUGCCUUUUUCUGUCUUUCAGGUUCAUGCUCAUUACCUCGGGUUGCAGCUACAAUAUUUUAGCUGACAUUCUUCUUGUCUGUUGAACUGACAGAGCCUAUCAGGGUAAUUCAGGUAAGUCCCUUAAUCAAACGCAAAAUUAUUAGGGAAAAAAGCAUUUGGUAGUGCUCCUGGAAGUUACUUCCCUGAAUCUGGAAUUUGCAUGCCCCAUAAAAUGGCCUGCCCAGUUACACUACGUGUACUGCAAUUUCACAAAGGUGCUCCAGAUAUCUUGGUCAGAGGGAAACUGUAAAUUCCAGCCUUGCUGGUAACCCACUGCUGCUACUCUCCUGCUCCAAAAUACUUCUGCAGGUGGCUGAGAGCAACUGCACAACACAUAACAGGGCAGCUGUGGGAGGUAUCCUCAGGUGAUGCAUGGCCACAAUCUGUGGGCUACAUUACUGAUGCUCAGCAGUUUCUAGCUGUGUGGAAGCACUUGAACAGCAUCGUCUUAUCUUAGAAAAGAGAAAUAUUAUUAAUUGCAAUGACUGUACAAAUAAAGGUAAUGCAUUAAGAGAAAAA